CCUGACUCAUCAAGCCCGGCCCCUGGUCGCGAAGCUACCGCUUCUUCGUCAGAGAUCACGGCUCCGACACGGUUCACCCCUCCUAACAUGAAGAAUGCUUCAAUAUUAUUACCAAUGUAUGAACUGGCAAAAUCAUAUAGGAGCAAAAUACUUCAAGAUGAAAUAAAACUUUGCCAUGAUAGUGUCCAGAAAAGUAGUCAACACAAUAUAUUUUGUCUUGUCCAUGGAGUAGUUUUGUUACCAUUCAUCAGUCUCAAAAUACUCGGGAAUUGAGGGAAUCCUUUGAGCCGGUGCUUCCUACUGCAGGGUAGUAAGUCUCAAAUGUCAGGUUAUCUCAUUCUCAGGGCCACUAAAACUGUUCAGAGAGUAAGGAGUGAUGUCUGCCUCCUGCUUUGUAAAGCCCCAUGUUAAAUUUUUUUCCUAAGGAUUUGCCUACUAAUGAUCUUUACUUGAAUAAAAUCUUUCAUGGAAACCGGGAUGUGUAUUUCUCACAAACCUAUACUCCACAAAACUUGCAGUAUCUCUGCAUUAAGCACUAGUCAUGGUUUCCCCCUUCAUGGUUAUUUGAAAUAACACUGUAUUUGUGACCACAGAUACUCACUAUGUAUUUCUUUUAU
This is a non-coding RNA of Odocoileus virginianus texanus, 617 nucleotides long. The record is from RefSeq and is a predicted model, not a curated record. Lineage: Eukaryota; Metazoa; Chordata; Mammalia; Artiodactyla; Cervidae.